Long non-coding RNA from Rhagoletis zephyria (snowberry fruit fly), 478 nucleotides. RefSeq lists it as uncharacterized. The record is from RefSeq and is a predicted model, not a curated record. Lineage: Eukaryota; Metazoa; Arthropoda; Insecta; Diptera; Tephritidae.
CUUGAGAAGAUUUCAUAAUUUUAAUUUCAACAAAAGCUAUAUAACUAAAUAAUUAAAAAUUUCGCACUAGGGCGCAUGCGCUCCUAACUUCAUUAGAUACUCGGUAUAGGUUUGUUUCUCGAUGUACAACUAGAAAAAUAAAGUAUCAUUAAUUAGGAUAAUUGUUCCAAAACAUGCACAAGAAAUUUUUAUACAGUCAUUAGUUUGACACAGGGACUGAAUUAUGAAAAUUAAGUUCUUUGUGGCAUCAAAGUUUACGUUAUUUUCGCAAAAAGCAUCCUUUCAACAUAGUUUAAAAUAAAAGGUUUCAAAGCGUAUAUUAUUCUUAAAUAACAAAUAUAUAUAUAUUUUUUUUUAUAUUUCAUUUAUAGUAUUAAAUACAUACUCGUUUUCGCAUUACAGUCCCUGAUUAAGAAUUUUUCCAAACUGCACUAUUGCAGUUCGCUUGUUUUUGCAUGUUUGUUGUGGAGAAAAAAAA